Molecule: ribosomal RNA, 548 nt
Filed under: Longpotamon xiangxiense
Lineage: Eukaryota; Metazoa; Arthropoda; Malacostraca; Decapoda; Potamidae
Description: partial 16S ribosomal RNA
Rfam family: Bacterial large subunit ribosomal RNA
Source: RNAcentral
GUUUGUUUGGAGUUAUAAAGAAUUUAACCUGCCCCCUGAUUAACUAUUCUAUUAAAGGGCCGCAGUAUUAUAACUGUGCAAAGGUAGCAUAAUCAUUAGGUUUUUAAUUGAAAUCUCGUAUGAAUGGUUGGACAAAAGAGAGACUCUCUUUAUAUUAAGUUUUGAAUUUAACUUUUAAGUGAAAAGGCUUAAAUAUUCUAAAGGGACGAUAAGACCCUAUAAAACUUUACAUUGUCAUUAAUUUUGAUUGAAUUUAUGAAAUAAAAAUUUUAUUUGAUUAUUUGUUAUGUUGGGGAGACAUAAGUAAAAUAUUUUUUUAACUGCUUGAUAGUUAUACAAUUAUUAGUGAAUAAGUAGAAGAUCCUUUUUAAGAUUAGUAGAUUAAGUUACUUUAGGGAUAACAGUGUAAUUUCUUUUGAGAGUUCUUAUCGAAAAAGAAGGUUGCAACCUCGAUGUUGAAUUAAAAUAUCUAUAUAAUGGAGAGGUUAUAUAAGAAGGUCUGUUCGACCUUGAAAAUUUUACAUGAUUUGAGUUCAAACCGGUGUGAG